AAAUUGAAGAGCUUGAUCAUGGCUCAGAUUGAACGCUGGCGGCAGGCCUAACACAUGCAAGUCGAGCGGUAGCACAGAGAGCUUGCUCUCGGGUGACGAGCGGCGGACGGGUGAGUAAUGUCUGGGAAACUGCCUGAUGGAGGGGGAUAACUACUGGAAACGGUAGCUAAUACCGCAUAACGUCGCAAGACCAAAGUGGGGGACCUUCGGGCCUCAUGCCAUCAGAUGUGCCCAGAUGGGAUUAGCUAGUAGGUGGGGUAAUGGCUCACCUAGGCGACGAUCCCUAGCUGGUCUGAGAGGAUGACCAGCCACACUGGAACUGAGACACGGUCCAGACUCCUACGGGAGGCAGCAGUGGGGAAUAUUGCACAAUGGGCGCAAGCCUGAUGCAGCCAUGCCGCG
This 402-nucleotide ribosomal RNA is filed under the name Citrobacter sp. RNAcentral's name for it is "bacterial SSU rRNA". It matches the Rfam family "Bacterial small subunit ribosomal RNA", at positions 1 to 401 of the family's 1533-position model. Lineage: Bacteria; Pseudomonadati; Pseudomonadota; Gammaproteobacteria; Enterobacterales; Enterobacteriaceae. The record is from RNAcentral.